This is a long non-coding RNA of Cyprinus carpio (common carp), 757 nucleotides long. RefSeq lists it as uncharacterized. The transcript is spliced from 4 exons. The record is from RefSeq and is a predicted model, not a curated record. Lineage: Eukaryota; Metazoa; Chordata; Actinopteri; Cypriniformes; Cyprinidae.
CAAUCCCAUCAGCAACCAGACUCAACAUCUGGACAUCACUCAACUCUGUCACACAUGUGCAGACUCUGUAUUUCUGAUAGCACUGAUCUCUGCUGCUGCCGCCGGAUCUCUGUUGAUUAUAGUUGCAGUCGUGAUCUGCUGCAUCUGCAGGAAUUGUAAAAAAGCAGUCCAGACCCAAGAGAAAAACAAAACCGUUUCAGCAUUGCAUAAAACAACAACAACAAAACUGAAAUUAAAGAAGGAGCCUGUGUACGGAAAUGUCACCAAAACAAGAUGAUCAAAACAAAAUGUCCUAAAGAACUCAUCUGGGCCUUGAUUCACACCUUUUGUUUCAUAUUUGUUCUCUGCCAGGAUCUUUUACUUUUUUCUGUUUUGUUCUCUGUCUUUGUUUUCAACUGUUAAUCAUUUUGAAACAUUUAAAGCAGGCAGGGUUAACCUUACAGUAGUACUCAACACUGAUUACUGUCAGACUUUCAGAAUACUUCAUCACUUAAAUCAAGAUUGUAAUAAUUUAAUUGUAAAGCACAACCACCAUGAUAUAAGACUUUAUCACUUUUUUUUUUUUUUUUUUUUUUUUUACUUUGAGAUCAUUCUGAGGUUAAAUACAGAUUUAAAAUCAUAUGACAUAGUUUAAUAGUUCUGAUGAAAUCAAAUCUUUGCAUAGCUAUGACAGGAACUAACAAUGCCUUGGAGAAAAAAAAAAAAACUGUUAAUCUUUAAAAAAAAAAAGCAUAUACAUAAUCCCAAAUAGUAAAUA